This 1270-nucleotide long non-coding RNA is filed under the name Homo sapiens (human). RNAcentral's name for it is "HSALNT0243491". Lineage: Eukaryota; Metazoa; Chordata; Mammalia; Primates; Hominidae. The record is from RNAcentral.
CUGCUUCUUUGACGCUGUAUGACCUUGGGCCAUUUUGUCCUCUGUAAAAUGGAGAUAAUCAUACCAGCCACCCCGUGCUGAGAAUUCAAUCAAAUGUCUGCAUGUUUAUUAAGCACACAGUGGCUGUUCCACAGCUGCUCCUGUCGGGCUGAGGAGCAGGCACCAUGGAGCCAGAGGACAUCCUGCUUGUUCUCUUUGGGAGAGAAAUAAAUAAUAUUGAGAGCAAACAUGAGCCAUGCCCUGAGCUAAGCACAGGAUGCAGCCCCCUCUCGGGUAAUCCUCUCAACGCCCCUGGUCGGGGAGAGGCCACAUGUGAAAGCGCAUUGACUGCCAUGAAGGCUUCCUCGCAAGUAAGAAAUUAGCCUGGGGGACCCCCUUAAACAUGGGUGCCUGAAUGGCCUUCAUUGGUAUCGCUUUCUCUCUUUGGGGUCUCUCUUUGGAGAGAAGUCACACACAGUCAACAAAUUGUAGUGCUGGGCACCAAAGUCACCCCCGCCCCCCCGCCCGCAACCCACUAGUCUGCAUCUCUCCAAAAGCAGCUUGCUCGAGGUAGAAGGCCAAGCUGUGACUGACAAUCGCACCCCACAGGGAAUGGAGGCAGCCGGGACUUAGAAUGUAAUUUCCUAAUUGGGAAUUCAUCCAGGCCACCAACCCAGUCCCCCACCCCAAGAAUCUUGGCCAAGGUCCUCAAGGUCUGUGACUCCACCUAUCCCUCUGGCUCAGGUUCCUCAAGCAUUAAAUGGGAACAUGGCUCUUCUCUGAAGCAGUUGAGGCUGGGGGCGGGACGGGGGGGAAACUGGACCCAGGUCAACUGGCCAUUCGCAGAUCAACUGGAUUUUAGUCCAAACUACUUAUUUUGCAGAUGAGGCUUCUGCAGCCCAGAGAAUAAAGUCACAUUUUCAAAGAGCACUCACAGCUCUAGAGGCAGAGUUCGACCUUGUACCUAUCUAUCUCCUGUCCAGUUUUCCUACCAAGCAGCUGCUUCAGCCAUAGAUGAGCAUGUAGAUAAUUAUUAAAUCACCAAAGAUUUGGUCCUAUUCUCUGCUACACUGUACUUUGAAAGAGAAAAGAGCUGAGAGCCUAGUGCAGGGACGACAUCUGGCCUGGGUCCCAUCACCCAGCCGGUGACUGUAUUGCAGUGGAAAUGACCCUCGACUGGUGUUAACUGGGCUGCUUUCUAGCCGUGUGCCCUUAGGAAACGUGUGUAGGGUUAAUCUCUGAGGGUGCCAGAGCUCAUCUGGGGACAUAAAAGGUCAGCUGGAAACAGGCU